CUGGUCGUAGCUCAGUAGGUAGAGCGCCUGGUUUGGGGCCAGGAGGCCGCAAGUUCGAGACUUGCCGACCAGA
This 73-nucleotide transfer RNA is filed under the name Streptomyces alboflavus. It matches the Rfam family "tRNA". From Rfam's summary of the family: Transfer RNA (tRNA) molecules are approximately 80 nucleotides in length. Lineage: Bacteria; Bacillati; Actinomycetota; Actinomycetes; Kitasatosporales; Streptomycetaceae. The record is from Rfam by way of RNAcentral.